Non-coding RNA from Pelobates cultripes (western spadefoot toad), 216 nucleotides. The record is from the annotation of a GenBank genome assembly. NCBI's taxonomy places the organism in Eukaryota, Metazoa, Chordata, Amphibia, Anura, Pelobatidae.
CGGUAUUUAUGCAAAAUCUCAGGUCCAGGGACAGCCCCCUCUGGACCUGAUGGGAUACAGGAAUAAUACAAGGGAUCAACCAAUACGAAUAAAAUGCAUCGUUUGAAUUUGUUACCGCCCAGCUUGGAGAUAAUGAACCCAACGGCUAUGCCAAUACAAUUAUCUCCAAGUGCCCAAAAUACGUUUUUAUUACACAUCAAAACAGGUUAAAAAUAU